RNAcentral lists this ribosomal RNA (253 nucleotides) under uncultured bacterium. Its description in RNAcentral is "partial 16S ribosomal RNA". It matches the Rfam family "Bacterial small subunit ribosomal RNA", at positions 524 to 776 of the family's 1533-position model. The record is from RNAcentral.
UACGUAGGGUGCGAGCGUUGUCCGGAAUUACUGGGCGUAAAGAGCUCGUAGGUGGUUUGUCGCGUUGUUCGUGAAAACCGGGGGCUUAACCCUCGGCGUGCGGGCGAUACGGGCAGACUUGAGUACUGCAGGGGAGACUGGAAUUCCUGGUGUAGCGGUGGAAUGCGCAGAUAUCAGGAGGAACACCGGUGGCGAAGGCGGCCUGCUGGGCAGUAGCUGACACUGAGGCGCGACAGCGUGGGGAGCAAACAGG